This 492-nucleotide ribosomal RNA is filed under the name uncultured bacterium. Its description in RNAcentral is "partial 16S ribosomal RNA". It matches the Rfam family "Bacterial small subunit ribosomal RNA", at positions 30 to 507 of the family's 1533-position model. The record is from RNAcentral.
AUUGAACGCUGGCGGCAUGCUUUACACAUGCAAGUCGAACGGUAACAGGCCUUCGGGUGCUGACGAGUGGCGAACGGGUGAGUAAUGCAUCGGAACGUGCCCAGAGGUGGGGGAUAACGCGGCGAAAGCUGUGCUAAUACCGCAUGUGAUCUGAGGAUGAAAGCGGGGGACCAGGCAGCAAUGUUUGGCCUCGCGCCUUUGGAGCGGCCGAUGUCAGAUUAGGUAGUUGGUGGGGUAAAGGCCUACCAAGCCGACGAUCUGUAGCUGGUCUGAGAGGACGACCAGCCACACUGGGACUGAGACACGGCCCAGACUCCUACGGGAGGCAGCAGUGGGGAAUUUUGGACAAUGGGCGCAAGCCUGAUCCAGCAAUGCCGCGUGCGGGAAGAAGGCCUUCGGGUUGUAAACCGCUUUUAUACGGAACGAAAAGGCUCUGGCUAAUACCUGGGGCUGAUGACGGUACCGUAAGAAUAAGCACCGGCUAACUACGUG